AGUAGCCAUAAUACUACCUGGUGGUCAGCUUCAAAUGUCUCAGAGCCUACUGUUACAAACUAUUGGUUACUGUUAUUGGAUCGCUACAACUCAGAAGCGAAUGUUAUUCAUUGUUGCAUUUCACUCAGAGUUUGACUACAGUACUGGGAUUUGGUACCUAACUCCUGAACUAUGGGCCUGCUGUCUAUUCGUUAUACGAACGGCAGACCACCAGGAUCUUGGCGUGUGCCGCCACUUAACCCCCGUCACCCCUGGAACAACUGAACGGCCGACCACCCUACGAGCCGAGUGUUUCUCCACUUAAUCGCCCAGAGAGUUGCGGUCUGCGGUUAACCACAACCUAAUUGACGGCAGCAGGGCAUUCACGUUCGUGCCCCAUCGCCCGAUACUCUAACUACCGAACGGGUACCGAACAAGGGCCACCUACAGCUUGGCGUGUGGCUCCAAUUAGAAUGUUGGUUUCUGCGGUUAACCGCAGGUUAAGAACCCCCUCCCGGUGUUCUUCAUUCGCCUCCCGAACAACGGAGACAUCCAGCGAUGGAGCGGGGAUUCGUGUAGACUUCUAGC
Pelobates cultripes (western spadefoot toad) is the source of this 567-nucleotide non-coding RNA. The record is from the annotation of a GenBank genome assembly. Lineage: Eukaryota; Metazoa; Chordata; Amphibia; Anura; Pelobatidae.